This 772-nucleotide ribosomal RNA is filed under the name uncultured Acidobacteriota bacterium. RNAcentral describes it as "bacterial SSU rRNA". It matches the Rfam family "Bacterial small subunit ribosomal RNA", at positions 15 to 767 of the family's 1533-position model. The record is from RNAcentral. Lineage: Bacteria; Pseudomonadati; Acidobacteriota.
AAUCCUGGCUCAGAAUCAACGCUGGCGGCGUGCCUAACACAUGCAAGUCGAACGCGAAAAUCCCGCAAGGGAUAAGUAGAGUGGCAAACGGGUGAGUACCACGUGGGUGACCUGCCUUCGAGCGGGGGAUAACGUCCCGAAAGGGACGCUAAUACCGCAUGACAUCCUGCCUUGAAGAGGUGGAGAUCAAAGCCGGGGAUCGCAAGACCUGGCACUCGAAGAGGGGCCCGCGCCUGAUUAGCUAGUUGGUGGGGUAACGGCUCACCAAGGCGACGAUCAGUAGCCGGCCUGAGAGGGCGGACGGCCACACUGGGACUGAGACACGGCCCAGACUCCUACGGGAGGCAGCAGUGGGGAAUUGUUCGCAAUGGGCGCAAGCCUGACGACGCAACGCCGCGUGGAGGACGAAGACCUUCGGGUCGUAAACUCCUUUCGAUCGAGACGAAUGGCCUUCGGGUGAAUAAUCCGGAGGAAUGACGGUACCGAGAGAAGAAGCCCCGGCUAACUCCGUGCCAGCAGCCGCGGUAAUACGGGGGGGGCAAGCGUUGUUCGGAAUUACUGGGCGUAAAGGGCUCGUAGGCGGCCGCCGAAGUCCGACGUGAAAUCCCUCGGCUCAACCGAGGAACUGCGUCGGAUACUGGGUGGCUUGAAUCCAAGAGAGGGAUGCGGAAUUCCAGGUGUAGCGGUGAAAUGCGUAGAUAUCUGGAGGAACACCGGUGGCGAAGGCGGCAUCCUGGAUUGGUAUUGACGCUGAGGAGCGAAAGCCAGGGGA